ACUUUUAAAGGAUAGAAGCCAUCCGUUGGUCUUAGGAACCAAAAAAU
RNAcentral lists this transfer RNA (47 nucleotides) under Eulemur fulvus fulvus. RNAcentral describes it as "tRNA-Leu". The record is from RNAcentral. Lineage: Eukaryota; Metazoa; Chordata; Mammalia; Primates; Lemuridae.